GGAGAGGUGGCAGAGUGGUCGAAUGUACCUGACUCGAAAUCAGGCGUGGGGGUAACUCCACCGUGGGUUCGAAUCCCACCCUCUCCGCCA
RNAcentral lists this transfer RNA (90 nucleotides) under Betaproteobacteria bacterium. RNAcentral's name for it is "tRNA-Ser". It matches the Rfam family "tRNA". Rfam says of the family: Transfer RNA (tRNA) molecules are approximately 80 nucleotides in length. Their secondary structure includes four short double-helical elements and three loops (D, anti-codon, and T loops). RNAcentral also lists the same sequence under 1 other name. Lineage: Bacteria; Pseudomonadati; Pseudomonadota; Betaproteobacteria. The record is from RNAcentral.